Molecule: ribosomal RNA, 373 nt
Filed under: uncultured bacterium
Lineage: Bacteria
Description: bacterial SSU rRNA
Rfam family: Bacterial small subunit ribosomal RNA
Source: RNAcentral
ACAGAGGUCCCGAGCGUUGUUCGGAUUCACUGGGCGUAAAGGGUGCGUAGGCGGUCGGAUAAGUCUAACGUGAAAGCCCGCAGCUUAACUGCGGAAUGGCGUCGGAUACUAUUCGGCUGGAGGGUGGGAAGGGGGACUGGAAUUCUCGGUGUAGCAGUGAAAUGCGUAGAUAUCGAGAGGAACACCAGCGGCGAAGGCGAGUCCCUGGACCACUCCUGACGCUGAGGCACGAAAGCUAGGGGAGCAAACAGGAUUAGAUACCCUGGUAGUCCUAGCCCUAAACGGUGCAUGUUUGCUGUAAAAGGAAUCGACCCCUUUUGUGGCGAAGCUAACGCGUUAAACAUGCCGCCUGGGAAGUACGGCCGCAAGGUUA